UUGAAGCGAAAAGUAGCACAAGGAAAUUCAUUGUUAAGGUUUGGGGUCUUAGUUCCCAAAGCUAAUUUGGUAAGGCUUAUCGAACUCAGUUUUCAUUUAUGUAAUUUAUUUAUUUUUAUUUUUUGUGUUUGUUGUUUGCUUUUGUCUUAGUUUAAAAAAAAAUUUAGUUUAGUUUAAUUAUUUUUUUACUUUUUACUUUUUAUUUAUUGUUUUAUUGAGGAAUAUACCUUUUUGGACGAUGAGCAAAGCCUAGACGACACAGACAUGGUGUCUAGAAAACAACAUGAAUCGGAGAUCCUAAGAUUGAGAUGAAACGGCGCUUAAAACCUAGAUUCUCUGCAUAUAUGACAUUUUAGGCAAAUGGUAAAGAUUAAAUACCCGCUCUGGCAAGAGAGAUGUGAGGAGGAUGGUAACAUGUUAUAACUUGCUGCACUGACAUCGAG
This 443-nucleotide long non-coding RNA is filed under the name Prunus persica (peach). RNAcentral's name for it is "long non-coding RNA (PPER_LNC000870)". The record is from RNAcentral. Lineage: Eukaryota; Viridiplantae; Streptophyta; Magnoliopsida; Rosales; Rosaceae.